GAUAAACGCUGGCAGAAUGCUUAACACAUGCAAGUCGAUGAUGGGAGCUAGCUUGCUAGAAGAAGUCAUGGCGGACGGGUGAGUAACGUGUAAAGAACUUACCAUAUAGACUGGGAUAACAGAGGGAAACUUCUGAUAAUACUGGAUAAGUUAGUAGUAGCAUUACUAAGUAAUGAAAGGUAGCAAUACGCUAUAUGAGAGCUUUGCAUCCUAUUAGCUAGUUGGUGGGGUAAAAGCCUACCAAGGCGAUGAUAGGUAGCCGGCCUGAGAGGGUGGACAGCCACAAGGGGACUGAGAUACGGCCCUUACUCCUACGGGAGGCAGCAGGGGGGAAUAUUGGACAAUGGAGGCAACUAUGAUCCAGCAAUUCUGUGUGUGUGAAGAAGGUUUUAGGACUGUAAAACACUUUUAGUAGGGAAGAAAGAAAUGACGGUACCUACAGAAGAAGCGACGGCUAAAUACGUG
Molecule: ribosomal RNA, 465 nt
Filed under: uncultured bacterium
Lineage: Bacteria
Description: partial 16S ribosomal RNA
Rfam family: Bacterial small subunit ribosomal RNA
Source: RNAcentral